CCAGUUUGGCAAAGAAAAAGAAAAACUUUCUCCCGCCGCCUGUCGUGCCAGCUUGACGCACCACAAAAUAAGAAGAUAGGCGAAAAAGAGACGGCCAACAGAUGCAGACAGAGAGAGAAGCGAAAAAUUUACUACAAGCCGAUGAUUUACUGACGAAUAAGGAAAAAAUUAUCAUUGCCUUGAGUUAUUUAUUUAUUUUGCGGCUAAAAAAGAAGGGUGUCAGAGGAAAUUGAACUUUUAACUCUCGGAAGCAGCCAUAAAUAGGAAACAAUUGUCAUCGUAGAGAAAGAAUUGGUGGCAAGUAAUUGCUUUUAUUGUAGUAACCAUCUUUACCCGCGAGGCAUUUUGUUUAGAUCAAUAAUAAUUACUAUUAUGGAUGAUAAAAGCGUCUUAAAGAAAAGUAAGAAUUGAGUCAAGCACGUGUUGUUUAGUAAUUAUUUUAACAGCCCAAAUAAACAGAAAAUGUUAUGUUAUAAACAAAUUAAUGACAAUUCACAAGCAAAAUUCAAAAACAAACACCUGACUUGUAAACAUCACGUCAAAUCUUUUUUAACCCAGAUUAGAAAACACGAAUUCGCAAAGUUCAAGUUUGCAAUUAUCAGCCAGCAGUAUCUGCAGCUGUUGCUGAUCGAAAGAGACCCAAAACCUGUGAUAAAUCACCCGCAACGGAGGCAACUGAUAAGGAUGGGGGCCACCCCCAUAAGACGCAGACACUCAGACAGAGCGAGACCCAUUCGAAGUCCCCGACCUGUCAUAUCGCUUUUCUCCCAGCUCGUUGUAUUCAAUCAAUCACGUUUCGCUUAUCGCCCACUCAGCAUGAGAAAAAGCGGAGAUGAGUUGGGGCUGCUGAUGGCAAAAUAUGGCGAACAAAGGGCACUGAAGUCCAUGACCACAGACGUUUAAUCUGCAUCGUUUCAAUUAUUAUGCAAACGGCAAUGAAAGCAAACAAUUUAAGACACACAUUUGAUAAACAAUGAGCGACGCACACAGUGAUAUAUGUGCGUGCCUUGGAAAUGCUGAGUAGUUUGAAGGAAAAGUGGAAAGUUGGCUUCGGAUGCAUAAUUAUUGCGGGGCUUAUUUCUCGUUAAAUGUACUGCGUAACGCUUCCCCUGAAAAAUUCGUGCCAAAAUGCAGUUUUCCCUUUACAAACUUCUUGUUUGUUCAGUUGAUUUGCCUUCUGCUUGCUUGCGUUUGGCACGUUGCUAAUAAAGCAACUAUGCGCCGCACUAACAAACAAAUGAAAAAUCUCGAUAGAUUGCAUAAAACGAAGAAAAUAAAGUGCAGCAAAUAAAAUGCUCAUA
Drosophila yakuba is the source of this 1301-nucleotide long non-coding RNA. RefSeq lists it as uncharacterized. The transcript is spliced from 2 exons. Lineage: Eukaryota; Metazoa; Arthropoda; Insecta; Diptera; Drosophilidae. The record is from RefSeq and is a predicted model, not a curated record.